Molecule: non-coding RNA, 1094 nt
Organism: Salmo salar (Atlantic salmon)
Lineage: Eukaryota; Metazoa; Chordata; Actinopteri; Salmoniformes; Salmonidae
Source: RefSeq, a predicted model, not a curated record
GUUACAUUGUGUUGUUUAUUGUGUUGCAGUGUAUAUAAAUAUAUAUGUAUGUGGGUGUGUAUUCCUCUGCUGCGUUUGAAAUGUGUUUGUCAGUUGUUUUUGUUACGAAGUGGCAUGGAGGAUGGCUGACUUUCUGGAGGAGGAGGAGGCUGUGUUCUCCGUGAUCCAGGAGAGCUUAAAGAUUGAUGUGGGCCCUCACCUGCCCUUCAAAAAGGCUGCGAAGGAGCGGGCGGAGCAAAGAAUAACCAGUUUUCAACUUAACAAGAUAAGUCUACUCACAAGGUCACCACCCCUUUGUUACAUGAAAUGUAGUAUAUCAUUUAAGGUGCUGAAAGUUAUUUCGUAUCCACUGAUAAAAGUAUUAAUACAAACGGACAUCUUAAUCUGCUGGACUCUAUUGACAUUCAACCUCAUAGGUUCUGUUAAAAGUAUCAAGUGUUAACCUGCGUAACCGUUUGCUAUCGACUUUCAAAUGAGGUCUGGACUGCCGAGAAGAAGAACCAUUCGCCGAAAUGGAAAUCAUUGGUUCUCCAGACACUCUGCCCCUUUUAUGGAAAAGAACAAGGACAGAAGAGAAAGCUCAUGCUUUUCAAGCUCUGAGAACAGGCAAUCAUUUGUCAUCAUAUUGCCAGAUGGAACAGGACGGAUUUUUCAUCCUUUUGGAGAGAUUACUCAGAGAAUGUGUACAAAAUACAGUAAUGUAAUUUAUACAAAAUACAGUAAUGUAAUUUAUACAAAAUACAGUAAUGACAUUUAUAAAAAUACAAUUACUAAGUUCCUGUAUUUUCAUUCUAACUUUCUCAAAAGUAUUGAUGAUUUGAGAACAAGCAGGAUGGUGGGAUCGUUUACCCUAAUGGUGUGCAAGCCAUCCAUCAGGAAGGCUCGCCGGUCUCAUCUUCUGUGAUAGUACAGGACAAAGAUCUCCUACCAGAAAUCCAGAUUGUCUUUACAUUCAUAUCAUAUAAUGGCAUUUAUGAAGAAAUGCAGUGCCUUUUUGACUUCAUGAGUACUGUGUGCAUUUGGGAAGCUGCUGUUCUCCAGGUGACAUGUUGGGUGGGAGUUUCUGACAGUGUGCUCUUGCUUGAAAUAAAACA